Molecule: ribosomal RNA, 435 nt
Filed under: uncultured bacterium
Lineage: Bacteria
Description: partial 16S ribosomal RNA
Rfam family: Bacterial small subunit ribosomal RNA
Source: RNAcentral
AACGAACGCUGGCGGCAUGCCUAACACAUGCAAGUCGAACGGGUACCUUCGGGUGCUAGUGGCGCACGGGUGCGUAACGCGUGGGAAUCUGCCCUUGGGUUCGGAAUAACUCAGCGAAAGCUGUGCUAAUACCGGAUGAUGUCGAAAGACCAAAGAUUUAUCGCCCGAGGAUGAGCCCGCGUUGGAUUAGCUAGUUGGUGGGGUAAAGGCCUACCAAGGCGACGAUCCAUAGCUGGUCUGAGAGGAUGAUCAGCCACACUGGGACUGAGACACGGCCCAGACUCCUGCGGGAGGCAGCAGUGGGGAAUAUUGGAAAAUGGGCGAAAGGCUGAUCCAGCAAUGCCGCGUGAGUGAUGAAGGCCUUAGGGUUGUAAAGCUCUUUUACCCGGGAUGAUAAUGACAGUACCGGGAGAAUAAGCUCCGGCUAACUCCGUG